Molecule: ribosomal RNA, 377 nt
Filed under: uncultured bacterium
Lineage: Bacteria
Description: bacterial SSU rRNA
Rfam family: Bacterial small subunit ribosomal RNA
Source: RNAcentral
GUAGUCCACGCCGUAAACGUUGGGAACUAGAUGUGGGGACCUUUCCACGGUCUCCGUGUCGCAGCUAACGCAUUAAGUUCCCCGCCUGGGGAGUACGGCCGCAAGGCUAAAACUCAAAGGAAUUGACGGGGGCCCGCACAAGCGGCGGAGCAUGCGGAUUAAUUCGAUGCAACGCGAAGAACCUUACCAAGGCUUGACAUAUACCGGAAACUUCCAGAAAUGGUUGCCCCGCAAGGUCGGUAUACAGGUGGUGCAUGGUUGUCGUCAGCUCGUGUCGUGAGAUGUUGGGUUAAGUCCCGCAACGAGCGCAACCCUCGUUCUAUGUUGCCAGCACGUCAUGGUGGGAACUCAUAGGAGACUGCCGGGGUCAACUCGGA